RNAcentral lists this unclassified non-coding RNA (256 nucleotides) under Hevea brasiliensis (rubber tree). The record is from RNAcentral. Lineage: Eukaryota; Viridiplantae; Streptophyta; Magnoliopsida; Malpighiales; Euphorbiaceae.
CAAGAAAGCAGUAUGAUGGCUCCGAGGAGGCCGAUCCACGCUGUGUCAACAUGGGUUAAACGGCAACCGCCAAAGGUAAAGGCUUUUCUGGCAGUGGUCACCGGAAUGACAGUUCUGGUGCUGCUACGUGCCAUUGUUCACGAUCACGACAACCUUUUCGUCGCCGCCGAGGCUGUUCACGCCAUCGGAAUAUCCGUUCUUAUCUAUAAGCUCACCAAAGAGAAAACUUGUGCUGGGAUUUCACUCAAAUCCCAGG